AAAUUGAAGAGUUUGAUCAUGGCUCAGAUUGAACGCUGGCGGCAGGCCUAACACAUGCAAGUCGAACGGUAACAGGAAGCAGCUUGCUGCUUUGCUGACGAGUGGCGGACGGGUGAGUAAUGUCUGGGAAACUGCCUGAUGGAGGGGGAUAACUACUGGAAACGGUGGCUAAUACCGCAUAAUGUCGCAAGACCAAAGAGGGGGACCUUCGGGCCUCUUGCCAUCAGAUGUGCCCAGAUGGGAUUAGCUUGUUGGUGAGGUAACGGCUCACCAAGGCGACGAUCCCUAGCUGGUCUGAGAGGAUGACCAGCCACACUGGAACUGAGACACGGUCCAGACUCCUACGGGAGGCAGCAGUGGGGAAUAUUGCACAAUGGGCGCAAGCCUGAUGCAGCCAUGCCGCGUGUAUGAAGAAGGCCUUCGGGUUGUAAAGUACUUUCAG
RNAcentral lists this ribosomal RNA (442 nucleotides) under Salmonella enterica. Its description in RNAcentral is "bacterial SSU rRNA". It matches the Rfam family "Bacterial small subunit ribosomal RNA", at positions 1 to 439 of the family's 1533-position model. The record is from RNAcentral. Lineage: Bacteria; Pseudomonadati; Pseudomonadota; Gammaproteobacteria; Enterobacterales; Enterobacteriaceae.